GACGAACGCUGGCGGCGUGCUUAACACAUGCAAGUCGUGCGGUAAGGCCCUUUCGGGGGUACACGAGCGGCGAACGGGUGAGUAACACGUGAGCAACCUGCCCUUCACUUUGGGAUAACUGCCGGAAACGGUGGCUAAUACCGGAUAUGACUUCCUCACGCAUGUGGGGUGGUGGAAAGCCUUCGGGUGGUGGGGGAUGGGCUCGCGGUCUAUCAGCUUGUUGGUGGGGUGAUGGCCUACCAAGGCUUCGACGGGUAGCCGGCCUGAGAGGGUGACCGGCCACACUGGGAAUGAGACACGGCCCAGACGCCUACGGGAGGCAGCAGUGGGAAAUAUUGGACAAUGGGCGAAAGCCUGAUCCAGCAACGCCGCGUGAGGGAUGACGGCCUUCGGGUUGUAAACCUCUUUCGCCUGCGACGAAGCGAGAGUGACGGUAGCAGGUAAAGAAGCACCGGCCAACUACGUG
RNAcentral lists this ribosomal RNA (466 nucleotides) under uncultured bacterium. RNAcentral's name for it is "partial 16S ribosomal RNA". It matches the Rfam family "Bacterial small subunit ribosomal RNA", at positions 28 to 507 of the family's 1533-position model. The record is from RNAcentral.